AGGGGGUGGAUUGCAGUGGUCAUAGAGAGCCUAAGCACUAGUAACCAAGAGGGAAAAAAGGAAAGAUAGAAGGUGGCUGGUGCAAUGAUUCUCGUAGGGAAAAAGGGAAGAUAGAGGCUAUGAUUUCCUAGCUUUCGAUGAAAUCGAGUUGGAGAAGGACUCUUCCUCCUCUAUCGCACAAAAAUAGGAGAGUCUCUUAUUUCUAAGGCCUUUGACCUUUCUUUUGGACAUUGGGCUAGGGCAAGGGACUAGCCUAUGGAUCAGGAGGUUGGGCCUCAUAGCGACGGUAGGAUGACAACUCCAAUCGUGGUCAUCGUUGGUGAUGGUUGGCAAAUCAAGAGAAAGAAUUAAAGCCCAAAAUAGGAGGGACCUAUUUAGGCUUAUUUGGUGGCUUCACAGUGGCAAUGGCCUAAAGACUAUAAGGACUCGUUUGGUUGACGGAAAGUAGAGGGGAG
Molecule: long non-coding RNA, 455 nt
Filed under: Elaeis guineensis (African oil palm)
Lineage: Eukaryota; Viridiplantae; Streptophyta; Magnoliopsida; Arecales; Arecaceae
Description: long non-coding RNA (EGUI_LNC016877)
Source: RNAcentral